GGGGGAAAAUUAAUAAAAAUAAAAUUAAUAAAAUAAAUUUUUAAGUUAAAAAUAAAUAAUGGGGGUUAAAGUAUUUUUAAUAGAAAAAAUUUGAAAUUUUAUAGGGAAAUAGUAUUGUAAGAGAAAUUUGAAAUAAAUUAAAAAUUAAUUGAGAAAAAAGAAAAUUUAAUUUAUUGUAUCUUGUGUAUCAGAGUUUAUUAAAUAAUUUUUUUUUAAAAAAAAGUCUCGAAUUUAAAAGAAUUAAUUAAUUAUAAAAGUUAAUGUAACAUAAUUAUUUUAAAUAAUUAAUUAGAAAUGAAAUGUUAAUCGUUUUUAAAUAUAUCUAGUUAUUUUAGAAAAAAAUUUAAUUUUGAAUUUUAAUAAUUUUAUAAUUUAAUAAUGAUAAUUAUAAAAAUUUAAAUUUAAUAUUUUAAGGGAUAAGCUUUAAAUUAAAAAUUUAUAAUAAAAAAAAAUAAAUAUUAAAAUUUUUAAAAUUUAUAUUGUUUAAAAAUUAUAAUUUAUUAUAAGAAAUUUUAAUAAAAAUAAAAUUUAAAAUAAAAUAUAUUUAAAUUUAUAUAAAAUAAUAAUUUUUAAUGAAAAAAAGUUAUUAAUAAUGAUAAAAUUAGUAUAAAUAAUAUAAAAAAAUUAAAUUUAAAAAUUAAAAUUAAUUAAAAGGAAUUCGGCAAAAUAAAUAUUCACUUGUUUAUCAAAAACAUGUCUUUUUGAUUAUAAUUUAAAGUCUAAUCUGCCCACUGAUAAAUAUUAAAGGGCUGCAGUAUAUUGACUGUACAAAGGUAGCAUAAUCAUUAGUUUUUUAAUUGAAAACUUGUAUGAAGGAUUUGAUGAAAUAUAAACUGUCUCUUAAUUAUUAUUAAAAAUUUAUUUUUUAGUAAAAAAGCUAAAAUAAUUUUAAAAGACGAGAAGACCCUAUAGAGUUUUAUAUUUUAUUUAUUAUUAAAAUUAUAUAAAAAUUAAAAUUAAUAUUAAAUAAAAUAUUGUAUUGGGGUGAUAGAAAAAUUAAAAUAACUUUUUUUAAAAAUUAACCAUAAAUAAAUGAAUAAAUGAUCCAUAUAUAAUGAUUAUAAGAAAAAAUUACCUUAGGGAUAACAGCGUAAUAUUUUUUUUUAGUUCAAAUAAAAAAAAAAGUUUGCGACCUCGAUGUUGGAUUAAGAUAAAAUUUAAAUGCAAAUGUUUAAAAUUUUGAUCUGUUCGAUCAUUAAAAUCUUACAUGAUCUGAGUUCAAACCGGUGUAAGCCAGGUUGGUUUCUAUCUUUAAAGAAAAAAAAUAUUUUAGUACGAAAGGAUCAAAUAUUUAAAAUAAUUUUAAUAAAAGAAUGUUAUUAAAUAAUUGGUAAAUUUUA
This 1340-nucleotide ribosomal RNA is filed under the name Lethe chandica (angled red forester). Its description in RNAcentral is "16S ribosomal RNA". Lineage: Eukaryota; Metazoa; Arthropoda; Insecta; Lepidoptera; Nymphalidae. The record is from RNAcentral.